Molecule: ribosomal RNA, 451 nt
Filed under: uncultured bacterium
Lineage: Bacteria
Description: bacterial SSU rRNA
Rfam family: Bacterial small subunit ribosomal RNA
Source: RNAcentral
GUGGGGAAUCUUGCGCAAUGGGCGAAAGCCUGACGCAGCCAUGCCGCGUGAGUGACGAAGGCCUUCGGGUUGUAAAGCUCUGUCCAGGGGGACGAACGGUCUUGGAGAUAACAUCUCUGGGGAGUGACGGUACCCCUGAAGAAAGCACCGGCUAACUCCGUGCCAGCAGCCGCGGCAAUACGGAGGGUGCGAGCGUUGUUCGGAAUCACUGGGCGUAAAGCGCGUGUAGGCGGUGUUGCAAGUCGGGUGUGAAAUCCCUGGGCUCAACCGAGGAAUUGCGCUCGAAACUGCAGCACUGGAGUACGGGAGAGGGACGUGGAAUUCCUGGUGUAGAGGUGAAAUUCGUAGAGAUCAGGAGGAACACCUGCGGCGAAGGCGACGUCCUGGACCGAUACUGACGCUGAGACGCGAAAGCGUGGGGAGCAAACAGGAUUAGAAACCCUUGUAGUCC